GAGCCCAAGAUUGAAAGCUGGCGUCUUCGGCGUCCGCAUUGUAAUCUCAAGAAGUGUUUUCCGCUUCGGACCAUGCCUAAGUCCCUUGGAAAAGGGCAUCAUAGAGGGUGAUAAUCCCGUACAUGGCAUGGAGCGCCCGAAGCUUUGUGAUACGCUUUCUAAGAGUCGAGUUGUUUGGGAAUGCAGCUCAAAAUGGGUGGUAAAUGCCAUCUAAGGCUAAAUAUUGGGGAGAGACCGAUAGCGAACAAGUACAGUGAUGGAAAGAUGAAAAGAACUUUGAAAAGAGAGUUAAACAGUACGUGAAAUUGCCAAAAGGGAAGGGUAGGAGGUCAGAGAUGCGGCCUAGGAUUCAGCCUUGCUUUUGCUUGGUGUUUUUCCUAGAUUGCAGGCCAACGUCGGUUUUGGGCACUGGAGAAUGGUGGAAGGAAUGUGGCACCUCUCGGGGUGUGUUAUAGCCUUCUACUGGAUACAGCGACCGAGACCGAGGACAGCAGCGUACUCGCAAGAGCGGGCCUUCGGGCACCUUUACGCUUAGGGCGUUGGCAUAAUGGCCCUCUACCACCCGUCUUGAAACACGGAC
This 580-nucleotide ribosomal RNA is filed under the name uncultured Pseudozyma. Its description in RNAcentral is "eukaryotic LSU rRNA". It matches the Rfam family "Eukaryotic large subunit ribosomal RNA", at positions 104 to 666 of the family's 3401-position model. The record is from RNAcentral. Lineage: Eukaryota; Fungi; Basidiomycota; Ustilaginomycetes; Ustilaginales; Ustilaginaceae.